RNAcentral lists this long non-coding RNA (2321 nucleotides) under Helianthus annuus (common sunflower). Its description in RNAcentral is "hypothetical non coding rna". The record is from RNAcentral. Lineage: Eukaryota; Viridiplantae; Streptophyta; Magnoliopsida; Asterales; Asteraceae.
UUUCUUCUAUUCUUCUCUCUAUACGUUGGUGUUCUAACCAAUAAUCACCAAAGCGAUGUCCUGUCCGAUCGAUUCAGGAACCAUCUAACGAAUACCGAAGUGUUGUGCUUUGUGAAUUUCGUUUAACGGAAUCCAAAGUACUAUACUUUGUGAGUUCAUUAAAUGGAUACCAAAGUACUGUCUGAAUAAGACUAUACUUUGUGAAAUUCGUUAAGGUUCGAAUCUCGUGACUACCGUUAAGGUUUGAUUUGGGUUUUACACAAAUACGUAUUCCAUUCUGUUAAACUAUGUGUUUAACUACCAAGAAUACUCCCAACUACACACUUACAAUCAAACAAACUAUUAAAUCAUCAGAAGAUCCAGAAUAAUAAAGUGCAUGCUUAAUUAUCGGAAGAAGUAGAAUCAGGAAGCUUGUUAACUCAAUCUUGCAUGCUUAUAAAGUAAUUACAGUAGAUUGGAGUAAGGAUUGGAUCCGGCACUAAAAGACUUUAAGAAGUGGCUUAUUUUAUUAAUUAAAUCAAAUUAAGAAAUAUUGUUUUUAUUAAAAGCUACCUUUGUAAAAAUGGAAUUUAUUCCAUCUAUUUAAAUAAAAUCCGGUGUUUCUAAACUCUGAUAUUUUUUUUCCUAACUCACGGUCCGGAUGAAAUUUCCGCUGCAGUGUUUUCAAAAAUAACCACCGGUACCGCUUGACUGCUCGCGACUCCCGAUUCCGUCCAGGGUGGGUCGGGGGACGUGACAAAUGGGGUUUUCAUUAAAGGGAAAAAUUUAAAAUCGAAAUUUAAAAAAAGGGAAUAAAAAUUUACUAAUUACCUAAUACAAGAUUCGAACCCGGUGUCCAGUGAAGAAGAACGCAGAUUAACCAGUGGAAUACCAAAGCUUAUUUGUUUAUGGGUUCCUUUUCAGUUUCUUAUAUAUAUUUGCACUAAAAAUUGAAAACCGAAUGGGUUCCUGGAACCUGAUGUGUGUUCAUAAGUCUGCCCUUGCCCGGGUACCACUAGACUGCAGUUGGUUUUGUUACAGAUAUAAGGUUUGAAGUAGAGGUGGCAAAAUGGGUGGGUUGGAUUGGGUUGGUUAUCGGGUUAGAAUGGGUUUGGGUUAGUAUGGGUUUAGUAAAAAAUGAGUAAGGAUGGGUUUAGAUUUAGAGGCUGUUUGGUAGCCUCUUAAUGACCAUUCAGAUGCUACCUCUUAGUGGUUUAAAACCUUAGAAUGAAUAAGAGGUAACCUCAAGUCUGAAUGGUUAAGAGGUAACCUCUGAAUGGUAAAUCAUCACAUGUCACAUUCUUCUACCUUCUUAUUGGUAAAAUUCUUAAUAUUAGUCAGUUUUAAAAGAAUUAUUUACCAACUUGACUAGAUACAAUGUAGAUUAUGUUGCAUAUUUAUAGGGAUUAUAAGUUAAAAGUAGUCUCGUAUAGAUAAGAUUAGUUAGAAACAAAAAAUCUGAACUUAGUAUGAUAUAAAGUUAAUAAAGAUGUAAACUCUUAACAUCCUAUUUUUUUUAUAAAAACAGUUCUUGAAAUUUAUAAAAAUAUAAACUUUUUAUAUUUGUAAAAAAACGAAAUUUAACAAUUUAAGUUAAAGGUCUGAAACGUACUUACGAGUCAAAUUUUAUUUUUUAUUUUUUAUAAAAACGAAAAUUUUAAACUUAAAAUUUAUUGGAUGAGUAGUAUGUGGAUUUUUAAAAAAAGUUAUGAACUUUAAAGAAUAAAAUUGUACUUUAUAAUUUAACCAAUAAAAUUAACAUACUUUACAAUUAUAACAACGUAUCUUUUAUUUUUUGUCUUUUGAUUAUUAAUUUUUAUAAAAGAAUAAAAAUUUACAUAUGUAAAACAAUUAUUUAUUUUUUUUAUACAAAAAAAACAUUUUAUUUUUGGAAAGAAAAUAUUUUAAAAAAAAAAUUGUAACAAGUAAUGUUAUAUAUAUAUAUAUCUAUCUAUCUAUCAUAUCUUAUAUGUAACAAUUACAUGAUAAAACAUAUGUAACUAAAAUACUUUGCAUUUCUUUCUGUUUCCCUAAACUGCCCCAGCAGCUACUACUGAUGUAUCAGUUAAAGAGGAGAUCAAAGAAGAAACCCAUCGUCCAAAAUAUGUAACAAUCAAACAGGAAGAGUUACAAGAAAUUCUAAAGGAUGUUGAUCGCGAUGAAGAGAAAUUGUGGUGUGACAAUAUGUAUGAGAUCGUUGAGAUGUUUAAGCCGUAUGAUUACUAGAUUUUUAACCUCAUGAUUCAAAGUACUUGACACUUGAGCUUUUAGUUUUCAACAUUUAUGUUUAAGACUUAUCUUUUCCUUAUUUGUGUGCUACUUUAUAUAACUUUUAGUUAUGU